UAGUAGAUCUGUACUCUACAUUUCAUGACCUCACUAGUCUCUGGAGUUUGGCUAUGUUUCCCUUAUGAGGCAGGAUUCCCUUGUGUUGAGUAAGUGUGCUGGAAGUUCAGUCAGAGAGCUGUUGAUUAUCACCAACAUAGACCUGGUGGUUCACCUACAAUGCUUCAUUUGGUUCUG
Molecule: long non-coding RNA, 177 nt
Filed under: Mus musculus (house mouse)
Lineage: Eukaryota; Metazoa; Chordata; Mammalia; Rodentia; Muridae
Description: predicted gene, 47349
Source: RNAcentral